UCCUCCCUCUUUCUUCGUGCUUAACACAUGCAAGUCGAACGGGAUUUAGUAAACGGAAGCCUCGGUGGAAGAUUACUACUGAGAGUGGCGAACGGGUGAGUAACGCGUGAGCAACCUGCCUAUGACAGUGGGAUAGCCUCGGUAAACCGGGAUUAAUACCGCAUAAAAUCGUAGAAACACAUGUUUCAACGGUCACAGAUUUAUCGGUCAUAGAUGGGCUCGCGUCUGCUUAGCUAGUUGGUGAGAUAACAGCCCACCAAGGCGGCGAUCAGUAGCCGGUCUGAGAGGAGGAACAGCCACAUUGGAACUGAGACACGGUCCAAACUCCUACGGGAGGCAGCAGUGGGGAAUAUUGCACAAUGGGGGAAACCCUGAUGCAGCGACGCCGCGUGAAUGAAGAAGGUAUUCGUAGUGUAAAGUUCUGUCCUAUGGGAAGAUAAUGACAGUACCAUAGAAGGAAGCUCCGGCUAAAUACGUG
This 478-nucleotide ribosomal RNA is filed under the name uncultured bacterium. RNAcentral describes it as "partial 16S ribosomal RNA". It matches the Rfam family "Bacterial small subunit ribosomal RNA", at positions 36 to 507 of the family's 1533-position model. The record is from RNAcentral.